This 77-nucleotide transfer RNA is filed under the name Bacilli bacterium. RNAcentral describes it as "tRNA-Leu". It matches the Rfam family "tRNA". Rfam says of the family: Transfer RNA (tRNA) molecules are approximately 80 nucleotides in length. Their secondary structure includes four short double-helical elements and three loops (D, anti-codon, and T loops). Further hydrogen bonds mediate the characteristic L-shaped molecular structure. tRNAs have two regions of fundamental functional importance: the anti-codon, which is responsible for specific mRNA codon recognition, and the 3' end, to which the tRNAs corresponding amino acid is attached (by aminoacyl-tRNA synthetases). tRNAs cope with the degeneracy of the genetic code in two manners: having more than one tRNA (with a specific anti-codon) for a particular amino acid; and 'wobble' base-pairing, i.e. permitting non-standard base-pairing at the 3rd anti-codon position. Lineage: Bacteria; Bacillati; Bacillota; Bacilli. The record is from RNAcentral.
GCCCUUGUAACCCAACUGGAAGAGGUAUUUGUCUUAGAAACAAAAAGUUGUGGGUUCAAAUCCCACUGAGGGCACCA